CGUGGGUAACCUGCCCAAGAGAUCGGGAUAACACCUGGAAACAGAUGCUAAUACCGGAUAACAACAUAUGAUGCCUAUCAACUGUUUAAAAGAUGGUUCUGCUAUCACUCUUGGAUGGACCUGCGGUGCAUUAGCUAGUUGGUAGGGUAACGGCCUACCAAGGCGAUGAUGCAUAGCCGAGUUGAGAGACUGAUCGGCCACAUUGGGACUGAGACACGGCCCAAACUCCUACGGGAGGCAGCAGGG
Molecule: ribosomal RNA, 246 nt
Filed under: uncultured Lactobacillus sp.
Lineage: Bacteria; Bacillati; Bacillota; Bacilli; Lactobacillales; Lactobacillaceae
Description: partial 16S ribosomal RNA
Rfam family: Bacterial small subunit ribosomal RNA
Source: RNAcentral